CGGCGAGUGAAGCGGCAACAGCUCAAAUUUGAAAUCUGGCCCUUUCAGGGUCCGAGUUGUAAUUUGUAGAGGAUGUUUCGGGUGUGGCUCCGGUCUAAGUUCCUUGGAACAGGACGUCAUAGAGGGUGAGAAUCCCGUAUGUGACUGGUAGCCUAUGCCCAUGUGAAACUCCUUCGACGAGUCGAGUUGUUUGGGAAUGCAGCUCAAAAUGGGUGGUAAAUUUCAUCUAAAGCUAAAUAUUGGCCAGAGACCGAUAGCGCACAAGUAGAGUGAUCGAAAGAUGAAAAGCACUUUGGAAAGAGAGUUAAACAGUACGUGAAAUUGUUGAAAGGGAAGCGCUUGCAACCAGACUUGCAUGUAGCUGAUCAACCGGUGUUCUCACCGGUGCACUCAGUUGCGUUCAGGCCAGCAUCGGUUUCGACGGUUGGAUAAAGGCCUUGGGAAUGUAGCUCCUCUCGGGGAGUGUUAUAGCCCAGGGUGCAAUGCAGCCUGUUGGGACCGAGGACCGCGCUUCGGCUAGGAUGCUGGCGUAAUGGUUGUAAGCGACCCGUCUUGAAACACGGACCAAGGAGUCUAACAUCUAUGCGAGUGUUUGGGUGUCAAACCCAUACGCGUAAUGAAAGUGAACGGAGGUGAGAACCCUUAAGGGUGCAUCAUCGACCGAUCCUGAUGUCUUCGGAUGGAUUUGAGUAAGAGCAUAGCUGUUGGGACCCGAAAGAUGGUGAACUAUGCCUGAAUAGGGUGAAGCCAGAGGAAACUCUGGUGGAGGCUCGCAGCGGUUCUGACGUGCAAAUCGAUCGUCAAAUUUGGGUAUAG
This 816-nucleotide ribosomal RNA is filed under the name Allantophomopsiella pseudotsugae. Its description in RNAcentral is "eukaryotic LSU rRNA". It matches the Rfam family "Eukaryotic large subunit ribosomal RNA", at positions 87 to 920 of the family's 3401-position model. The record is from RNAcentral. Lineage: Eukaryota; Fungi; Ascomycota; Leotiomycetes; Phacidiales; Phacidiaceae.